Molecule: transfer RNA, 19 nt
Filed under: Chimonanthus praecox
Lineage: Eukaryota; Viridiplantae; Streptophyta; Magnoliopsida; Laurales; Calycanthaceae
Description: partial transfer RNA-Phe
Source: RNAcentral
GUCGGGAUAGGUCAGCUGG